UCUACGGGGGGCAGCAGUGGGGAAUAUUGCACAAUGGGCGAAAGCUGAUGCAGCGACGCCGCGUGAGGGAUGACGGCCUUCGGGUUGUAAACCUCUUUCAGCAGGGACGAAGCGCAAGUGACGGUACCUGCAGAAGAAGCACCGGCUAACUACGUGCCAGCAGCCGCGGUAAU
RNAcentral lists this ribosomal RNA (173 nucleotides) under uncultured Rhodococcus sp. RNAcentral's name for it is "partial 16S ribosomal RNA". It matches the Rfam family "Bacterial small subunit ribosomal RNA", at positions 338 to 524 of the family's 1533-position model. Lineage: Bacteria; Bacillati; Actinomycetota; Actinomycetes; Mycobacteriales; Nocardiaceae. The record is from RNAcentral.